GUGCUCGCUUUGGCAGCACAUAUACUAAAAUUGGAACGAUACAGAGAAGAUUAGCAUGGCCCCUCCGCAAGGAUAACCCCUUAGAGUUCUUCACACCCUCU
This 101-nucleotide small nuclear RNA is filed under the name Mustela putorius furo (domestic ferret). The record is from RNAcentral. Lineage: Eukaryota; Metazoa; Chordata; Mammalia; Carnivora; Mustelidae.